AGUGAACGCUGGCGGUAGGCCUAACACAUGCAAGUCGAACGGCAGCACAGUAAGAGUUUGCUCUUACGGGUGGCGAGUGGCGGACGGGUGAGGAAUACAUCGGAAUCUACUUUUUCGUGGGGGUUAACGUAGGGAAACUUACGCUAAUACCGCAUACGACCUACGGGUGAAAGCAGGGGAUCUUCGGACCUUGCGCGAUUGAAUGAGCCGAUGUCGGAUUAGCUAGUUGGCGGGGUAAAGGCCCACCAAGGCGACGAUCCGUAGCUGGUCUGAGAGGAUGAUCAGCCACACUGGAACUGAGACACGGUCCAGACUCCUACGGGAGGCAGCAGUGGGGAAUAUUGGACAAUGGGCGCAAGCCUGAUCCAGCCAUACCGCGUGGGUGAAGAAGGCCUUCGGGUUGUAAAGCCCUUUUGUUGGGAAAGAAAAGCAGCAGGUUAAUACCCCGCUGUUCUGACGGUACCCAAAGAAUAAGCACCGGCUAACUUCGUG
Molecule: ribosomal RNA, 492 nt
Filed under: uncultured bacterium
Lineage: Bacteria
Description: partial 16S ribosomal RNA
Rfam family: Bacterial small subunit ribosomal RNA
Source: RNAcentral